UACGAAGGGUGCAAGCGUUAAUCGGAAUUACUGGGCGUAAAGCGCGCGUAGGCGGUUUGAUAAGUUGGAUGUGAAAGCCCCGGGCUCAACCUGGGAAUUGCAUCUAAAACUGUCUGACUAGAGUACGGUAGAGGGUAGUGGAAUUUCCUGUGUAGCGGUGAAAUGCGUAGAUAUAGGAAGGAACACCAGUGGCGAAGGCGACUACCUGGACUGAUUCUGACACUGAGGUGCGAAAGCGUGGGGAGCAAACAGG
RNAcentral lists this ribosomal RNA (253 nucleotides) under uncultured Pseudomonadaceae bacterium. Its description in RNAcentral is "partial 16S ribosomal RNA". It matches the Rfam family "Bacterial small subunit ribosomal RNA", at positions 524 to 776 of the family's 1533-position model. The record is from RNAcentral. Lineage: Bacteria; Pseudomonadati; Pseudomonadota; Gammaproteobacteria; Pseudomonadales; Pseudomonadaceae.